GAUGAACGCUGGCGGCGUGCCUAAUACAUGCAAGUCGAGCGAACAGACGAGGAGUUUGCUCCUCUGACGUUAGCGGCGGACGGGUGAGUAACACGUGGAUAACCUACCUAUAAGACUGGGAUAACUUCGGGAAACCGGAGCUAAUACCGGAUAAUAUAUUGAACCGCAUGGUUCAAUAGUGAAAGACGGUUUUGCUGUCACUUAUUGAUGGAUCCGCGCCGCAUUAGCUAGUUGGUAAGGUAACGGCUUACCAAGGCUACGAUGCGUAGCCGACCUGAGAGGGUGAUCGGCCACACUGGAACUGAGACACGGUCCAGACUCCUACGGGAGGCAGCAGUAGGGAAUCUUCCGCAAUGGGCGAAAGCCUGACGGAGCAACGCCGCGUGAGUGAUGAAGGUCUUCGGAUCGUAAAACUCUGUUAUUAGGGAAGAACAAAUGUGUAAGUAACUAUGCACGUCUUGACGGUACCUAAUCAAAAAGCCACGGCUAACUACGUG
This 497-nucleotide ribosomal RNA is filed under the name uncultured bacterium. RNAcentral's name for it is "partial 16S ribosomal RNA". It matches the Rfam family "Bacterial small subunit ribosomal RNA", at positions 28 to 507 of the family's 1533-position model. The record is from RNAcentral.